UGAGUGUAUUGUGUGUGGGCCCUAAUGUUGCCAUGAACGCUGUAGGGUAUUUUUAUUACUAUGUCUUCUUCAUGUUGAGAGAUUGAGAUCUAAAGAAGAUAAGAAAUUGGCUGAAGGUAUAAAAAAAAAAAAGAAAAAAAAAUUGGCUGAAGCUCACACAAUUAGUAAAUGUUAGAACCAGAAUAAAACGGAGUUCUGAGUGACUUGAAAGUGUAUGCUUUAUACACAUUAUGACCUUGUAUUUCCCAUUAUUCCCAUCCUUUGGUCACCAAGUGACUUUACCUUCAGUGAAGAGCCCUGGGGUCUGUGAUGGUUGCUUAUAUUAUCAGUGCUCAUCAUUAGCUGUUGACAUUUGUCUACAUAUAACAGUGAUUUUUACUGCUUAGGAGGAAACUUUCAAAGGUGUUUCUGCAACAUAGCUCCAGCUGGAGGUGCUGCUUAAACUCUUCAAGGUCAAGAUGAAUCAAACUCAGAGGAGGCUUUACCCCUGGACCAUGCAAGCUCCUGAGGUCUGGGAGGAACUGCUGACAGUGAAAGUGGAGAUGGAAAGUCGCCUCCCAAUGCAGGAAUCCCGACUGAGAUGGAGUAAUCCCCUCAGGGAUUUUUAACCGAGGGAAAUUUAUCUGAAAGCACUUUCGACAGGAGAUCCCUGGGCCCUGCGAGGCCCUCACCUGGCUCUGGGAGCUGUGUCAACACUGGCUGCGCCCUGAGACCCACAGCAAGGAGCAGAUCCUGGAGCUGCUGGUGCAGGAACUGUUUCUGAUCAUCCUCCCGAGAAGCUCCAGGCCUGGGUGCAGGAGCAGCACCUCGAGAGUGGGGACAAAGUGGUGGCUACCAUGCUGGUGGACCUGGAGAGGGAGCUAGAUGAAUCACAGCAUGAGGUGGUAGCUACACACAGGGGCAAGAAGUCCUCUCCAGAGGGACAGUGCCUCUGGGACAGCAGACAUCACUGAGGCUUCAGUCCCAGCCCAGAGGACCCCAGCCCACAUGGGAUGCUGCUCAGGAGGCCCAUCCCUGGAGAGACAGCCAUCUUUUCCUUUAUUCUGCCUUCCAAGCUGUAUCUAGAACCUACUGGGGACUCCUUUCUUCAGGACGCACAUCUGAGCAUGUCCUUGCUCCCAUCUGCCCAUUGCUCGCCGCCUCCCUCCAUCCAGUCAUCCAUUAAGCAUCGAAUAUGGCUGCUGGAGAGCACCCAAGGGCUCUCUUACAGGACUGUCACUACAGGUAUGAUUUCAAAUAUUCUGUGAUUAAAUUCCUUAUAUAACAACAAGAUCUUGAACAAGAUAUUUUCUGGCAAGUUUCUAUACGAAGUAUGAUCCGACUCACUUCAUCCUAAACACAGCUUCUCUCCAGAGUGUGCUAAUUCCUAAAAUGCCACAGCAACAUGGUGAUCGGAUCUUUGGAAUUAAUAAGUAUUGAAUUGUUUUGAAACAGAAAAAAUUUUUAUAGCUACUGAGUUUUCUGUAAGGAAGGAGUGGUUAGUAAACUGCACUGCUUCUGUGAUAAUAUGAAAUGAGAAGUAUUUACAUUGGAGGGCCAGUUGCUGGUUCUUUAUAAACUGUUUUGAAGUGCAGUAUUUACUGAAAAAUGCAUAUGGUAUCUUUCUGAAGAGAGGCUUUAUAGGCAAGCUGGGCAGGUCCAGCUUAUAAGUUAAAUCACUGUAAAGUGAGGGUACAAUAGAUAAAUCUGAGGAAAUAAGAGAUUUAUAAGACACUAAGACCAGCUUAGUUUAUAAUGAGGAGGAGUUCUGUUAGGAGAAGAAAAUUUCCAAUCAUUCAGUCAGUUUAAGCAGAUAUACAUGUAAACCAGAAUCAUCUCUUUACAAGUUUAUUAUAAUUUUUAUUACCAUGUAUAUUCCUCUUAUGUUAUUUAAGAGGAUAUUUCCCUCUUGCUUUAUAUAGCCCAAUCCCUACGUUAUGAUUAUACUUUUUUGCUUUUACUGGUUCAACAUUAUAUUGAUGGAUGAGGUCAUUUUUACAUGUAUUAAGUUACUGAGUUCAUGAAGGCCCACCUUCAUGACUGGUGAUAGAAGACAGCCAGGCAUUUUACAAAUAGCCUCUGAGUCAGCUUUGUAAUUUUGGAACAGAAUGGGUUUUAUUGCCUUUCCAGACACAAGGCUGCAAAAUCAAUUUAGAAAAUAAUUUAUUUUACAGUUAAAAUAUAUGGUAGUUUAAAGGUGUCUGCUUAUUUGGUUCAUCAGUCUAAUUGUUAAAGUCUGCUGUUGUUUAGAAAAGGAAACAUAAAAUGGACAAGUAUAUGGCCAGCUUGUGGUCUAGCAGAAACUGCUUCUCUAGCAGUAAUACCAAAGUAAAUAGUGGAGUCUUCUCUAGCAGAUCUGCAGUAUAAGAAAACAUUGUCUUUUCUUAGACUCUCCGAUCUCAGUCCUCAUAUAUUGCCCAUUAAUGUUUUGCCUUUCAUUACAUAGGUCUUAGUCUUAGUGUAGAUUAACUCAGAGUGGUAACUGUUUCCAAAGCAGCAGCCAUAUUAAAUUCUAUAUAUUUAGAUAUUAGAUUCUCUAUAGAGAAUCUUCCUAUAGUUGACAUUAAUUGCCAGAAAUAACUAUAUACUACUUUGAGAAGAAGACAGUCAAAAAUAAAGUUCUGAUGUGGGAUGAAACUGAAAAAUCCAGUAAUAUUUGUAAACUUGAGUGAAAAGAGUUACAGACCAACUGAAAAAUCAAUUUGUUUCAAUAAAGUGACUUUGGGGGGUAAUGAUCAUUGUUUUGUAUUUCUGAAGUAUUGAGUUUAGAAAUCAGUUGUAUAAUAAUGCUUUUGUAUAUUUGUCUUUUCCCUUGUAUUUUUAAACCAGUAAUCUAUAUAAAUAAAUUUUUCUUUCAUGUAAGAUUCUUGCAAAUUUCCAAAUUGAGUCAGCAAUGUCAUAGUUAUUUUUCAAGGUUUUUUUAAGCAACUGAAUUUGUAAAAUUAAUGUAGUUAAAAAUACUCCUUUUUCUUUAUAUUAAAGACUUACAUUUUUUGCACAGACUUCAGAAAUAGAAGUCUACUUCUGUUAAUACAGGCCUUCUGCUUUUUUCCCCACUUUUUACGCUUCAAUGUUUUAAAAAUAUUCAGAUAUUUGAGGGCUCACUCUAGUAUAGGUAUUGUUUUAAGUAUUGUGUCUAGGGCAGCCCUGGUGGCCCAGCAGUUUAGCAUCGCCUUCAGCCCAGGGUGUGAUCCUGGAGACUAGGGAUCGAGUCCCACGUUGGGCUCCCUGCAUGGAGCUUGUUUCUCCCUUUGCCCUGUGUCUCUGCCUCUCUUUCUCUCUCUCUCUGUGCCUCUCACAAAUAAAUAAAAUCUUUUUUAAAAAUAAGUAUUUGGCUAUAGUUUGUAAGCAAGACAAACCAAAUCUUUUCCCAUAUAAGCUUACGUUCAAAUUGGAGAUCAGGUAAAAAAAUGAACCAAAACAUAGUAUUUCAUGUAGUGAUAAAUGCCAUGGGAAAAAAAUUAAGCAGGUAAAAGGCAGGGGAGCAUACCUCAGAAGGGUCUUCCCUAAUAUUCCUAAGGUUAUUUUUGGGCUAGAAAGGAGUAAUAAGAAGGAUGAGAAUGGUAACAAAUGAGUUCAGAGAAGUAGGUAAGAGUCAGAUCAUAUAGGCCUCUUUGGCCAAAGUAAUAAGCAAAUUUUCUUCUAAGCUAGACAAAGCCAUUGGAUAGUUUUACAUAAAUGAUUAAAGGGAUCUGAUUUUUUUUUUCUUUUAAGUUUACUGGCUAAUGCUGAGAAUAAAGUAUACGUGAAUAGGAAGGAGGAAGAAUAGUUGGGAAACUACUACAGGCAAGAGGUAGCUCAGACUAGGGGAAUGGCUGAUAGAGUGGUUGGGAAGUGGUCAAAUUUGGGAUACGCUUUUUUGUUCCUUUUUUUUUUAAGAUUUUAUUUAUUUAUUCAUGAGAGAGAGAGGUUGAGGGAGAAACAGGCUCCAUGCAGGGAGCCUGACGUGGGACUCCCACAAAGUCCUGGGACUUUAGGAUCACGCCCUGGGCUGAAGGCAGGUGCUAAACCACUGAGCCACCCAAGGAUCUCUACUUUUUUGUUCUUAACACCCAGGUGAACUUCCAAUUUCUCAAGUUUGUACAGUUUAAUGUAAAAAAAAAAAAAAUAAUUUUUCUAAAAAUAAAAUCUAUUAUGACUAUUACUUGGAACAAAACUAAUUGCUAUGCUAUAAUGGCUCCUAAUUUCAAGUCAGGAUACAAUGGCAGUUUCCUUUUUUUUUUUUUUUUUUUUUUACAAUGGCAGUUUCUAAAUGUGCAUGAGCUCAGAAGUGCCACUAAUUUUAGCAUUCAUUGGUGAAUUUUCCGUGCAACAAAGAUUACUGUGGAGUUCCAUGGUGGUUUUCUUCUUUCCUGUUCCUUCUACAUUUAUUGGAAUUCUCUAAGGAUGAUUUUUUUUUUCCUUUUCCUUAUAUUCAAUCUUUUUUUUUUUUUAAGAUUUUAUUUACUUAUUCAUGAGAGACAGAAAGAGGAAGAGACACAGGCAGAUGGAGAAGCAGGCCCCAUGCUGAGAGCCCGAUGUGGGACUUGAUCCCAGGACCCAGGACCAUACCCUGGGCUAAAGGCAGGCACCAAACCAUUGAGCCACCCAGUGAUCCUUCAUUCGUAUUAUUUUGGACUUACAGAUACCUUAUUCUUUGGUUUACAAUUCAUUAUUAUCAUUAUUAAUCUAUUUUUCAAAUGGUUCUCCAGAUUUUGCCAUUCGAAGUCAAAGUUCCCAGUGUUAAUUUCCAAGUUGGUUUCUGUAUCUUUUUGACCUGUCUCUCCUUUUUUUCUUAAGUGUAGAACUAUGUGUUUUAGGUUUAUGGCACUAUAGUCUUCUAAACUGUAAAUAUCCUAAGGGGCAUAAUAAUAUUUCCUUAACUAAUACCUUAGUAUGAAUUAGUAUUCCUUAGUAUUAGUAUUUCCUUAACUAAUACCUUAGUAUGUAUUAGCCUUAUGGAGUUGCAUGAUGCUAACAGUUGGAAAAGACCUUAGAGGCUAUAUAAUUUAAAUUCCUUAAUCUUACCUUGAAUUUUUAUUAACCAUCACACCUUCACUCAGUUCUGUGUUAGUGCUAAUAAAGGAAGACUUCUUAAAAUAUAUAUAUAUGUGUGUGUGUGUGUGUGUGAAGUUUGGGCAGAAGGGCAGUACUGAUCCCACUUGUGGCCCAUUUCUUCUCUGCAGACACAUUUCUGUUUUCCAAACCUGUUGCCAUCCUUCAGCUAUAAGGACUGAGAGAACCAUGGUCUGACAACAGAGGAGUACUCAGAGGUACUUGUUCAGGGGUGUGAGGGAGGGACAGGACAGUUAGCUGUGGGAGAAAGCUGGAUGUUUUGAUAAAGAGAAGGGCUGGGGCUGUUUUCCCUGGGCUUUCUGGUUUGCAAGAUAGAAGUCUGUUAGUUGGGAAGCUCCAUGGAAGCUUUCUAGUUGUGAUCUGAAACUAGCCCCUCCUUGGGGGGCAGGGAGAGACCCAGGAAAGAGGGAAGCUGGUGGUGUUCCCAAGCAAAGGAGGCUCACAGGUGAGGCUCUUCCCAGGUGGUGGCAGAAUGAGUAGAUACCCACACCCACCAGCCAGAUCUGAAAAGUAAUGUAGAGG
Molecule: long non-coding RNA, 5556 nt
Filed under: Canis lupus familiaris (dog)
Lineage: Eukaryota; Metazoa; Chordata; Mammalia; Carnivora; Canidae
Description: lncRNA (ENSCAFG00030021580.1)
Source: RNAcentral